Molecule: ribosomal RNA, 443 nt
Filed under: uncultured bacterium
Lineage: Bacteria
Description: partial 16S ribosomal RNA
Rfam family: Bacterial small subunit ribosomal RNA
Source: RNAcentral
CCUACGGGUAGCAGCAGUGGGGAAUAUUGGGCCAUGGGCGCAAGCCUGACCCAGCAACGCCGCGUGAAGGAAGAAGGCUUUCGGGUUGUAAACUUCUUUUCUGAGGGACGAAGAAAGUGACGGUACCUUAGGAAUAAGCCACGGCUAACUACGUGCCAGCAGCCGCGGUAAUACGUAGGUGGCAAGCGUUAUCCGGAUUUAUUGGGUGUAAAGGGCGUGUAGGCGGGAAAGCAAGUCAGAUGUGAAAACUCAGGGCUCAACCCUGAGCCUGCAUUUGAAACUGUUGUUCUUGAGUGCUGUAGAGGCAAUCGGAAUUCCGUGUGUAGCGGUGAAAUGCGUAGAUAUACGGAGGAACACCAGUGGCGAAGGCGGAUUGCUGGACAGUAACUGACGCUGAGGCGCGAAAGCGUGGGGAGCAAACAGGAUUAGAUACCCCAGUAGUC